UUUAAGUGCAACUAUAUAUGAGUUUCCGCGCUCAACUUUUAUCAUCUGUCUUAUUUGAAAAUUUUUACAAUUAGUAUUUUUGUUGUUAUGAGAUGAUAAAAUAUAAAUAGUACUUUACUCGUGACUUAUGUUUUUAUUUUUUUUCAAAAGAUUUUCAAAUCAGACGGUCGGUCAAAGUUGGACGUGGAAAACUGUGGCUGCACUUAAA
Oryza meridionalis is the source of this 208-nucleotide non-coding RNA. Lineage: Eukaryota; Viridiplantae; Streptophyta; Magnoliopsida; Poales; Poaceae. The record is from Rfam.